RNAcentral lists this ribosomal RNA (453 nucleotides) under uncultured soil bacterium. RNAcentral describes it as "bacterial SSU rRNA". It matches the Rfam family "Bacterial small subunit ribosomal RNA", at positions 26 to 503 of the family's 1533-position model. The record is from RNAcentral.
AGAUUGAACGCUGGCGGCAUGCCUUACGCAUGCAAGUCGAACGGUAGAGUAGCAAUACUCGAGAGUGGCGAACGGGUGAGUAAUAUAUCGGAACGUGCCCAGUCGUGGGGGAUAACGUAGAGAAAUUUACGCUAAUACCGCAUACGAUCUACGGAUGAAAGCGGGGGAUCGCAAGACCUCGCGCGAUUGGAGCGGCUGAUAUCAGAUUAGGUUGUUGGUGAGGUAAAAGCUCACCAAGCCGACGAUCUGUAGCUGGUUUGAGAGAACGACCAGCCACACUGGGACUGAGACACGGCCCAGACUCCUACGGGAGCAGCAGUGGGGAAUUUUGGACAAUGGGCGAAAGCCUGAUCCAGCAAUGCCGCGUGCAGGAAGAGGCCUUCGGGUUGUAAACUGCGUUUUGUAACCGGAACGAAAAGGCUCUUUACGUUAAAUAAAGGGGUACCCCAAGUU